UGUAUAUAUAUAUAUGUGUGUAUAUGUAUGUAUAUAUAUGUGUGUAUAUAUGUAUGUAUAUAUAUGUGUGUAUAUAUGUAUGUAUAUGUGUGAUGAAGUUUGUACACUAGGUUAUUUCCUCGUAUCAUCACCAAUCUGUCUGGGAUAAUGAUUUUAAUGAUUAUAUUUAUUUUUCUGUGUUGGUAUUCUCUGUUGUUUCCUCAUACCUAAAGGGUUUGCAAUGUCAACUGCAUGAGACUUUUAGAUAUAAGGAAAUCAUGCAGGUUUUUACCAACAAACAACUGUUACAAGACAUACAGACCAAGCACACUAACACAAGUGAGUAUUGAGACCUUAGCAUUUUCACGCAGAAAUGUACAGUCUAAUGUACAUGUGUGUGUGUGUAUAUGUGUAUGUGUAUGUAUAUAUAUGUACAUGUGUAUAUAUGUAUCUGUACAUCUGUAUAUAUAUGUACAUGUGUAUAUAUGUAUAUAUAUAUAUGUACAUGUGUAUAUAUGUAUGUAUAUGUGUAUGUAUGUAUGUAUACAUACACACAUACAUAUUUUUGUUUAUUUACUCCACAGAUUUUGCCUUUUCAUUAAGUAUGUAGUUGUCCCUGGUGAGGGAGAAGUUUUAUCACUCAACAAAUUCAAAACUGCACUCAUAUCUUAUGGUAAAGUAAAAACUUUGGUGUACGUCUUACUCAGUGACGCAUUGUCUUUACUUCCACAUCAACUCCUAAGUAAUUAUUAUUAUUAUUAUUUAUUUACAAAUUUGGUUCAUUUUAAUCUAUUCAGUAAGUUUGGUUUACAAGAGACUAACGUUUAGUGUUUUUUAAUGACGGAAAACAUUUUAUAAUUUAAUAAACAUUAUAUGCGUAAUAUUAUGGAGCUGCUAAAAUUGAAAUUCUGCAGCUCUAGAAUUUCAAAGUGGUAUUCUUUUAAUGUAUUAUAAACAUAUAUUUUCAUAAACAUUUUAUCAAAUACUAUGGUAAAUAGCAUAAUUACUAGUUACUUGUAACCUAUAUAAUUACUAGCUGUAUUAGUAACAUUAUAAGUUGUUCCUCUUUUUUUUUUUAUUUUCUCAUUGUAACCUCCAACAUGGUCAGUGAACUAUUAUUUUCAGUACGUUUGGACAUAAGGUGGUGGGUCUUUUAAUGUGUUAUUAAAAUUUUUAAUGUUUGAAUGAUGAUAAAUUUACAUGCGAAGGACAAUUGAUUAUGCACUUGGUACUUUUAAUUUAAGAAGCAAUUAGGUUUGUAAGAAUAUUAUUAUUAUUAUUAUUAUUAUUG
Octopus sinensis (East Asian common octopus) is the source of this 1270-nucleotide long non-coding RNA. RefSeq lists it as uncharacterized. The transcript has 3 exons. Lineage: Eukaryota; Metazoa; Mollusca; Cephalopoda; Octopoda; Octopodidae. The record is from RefSeq and is a predicted model, not a curated record.